Apis laboriosa (Himalayan honeybee) is the source of this 1561-nucleotide long non-coding RNA. RefSeq lists it as uncharacterized. NCBI's taxonomy places the organism in Eukaryota, Metazoa, Arthropoda, Insecta, Hymenoptera, Apidae. The record is from RefSeq and is a predicted model, not a curated record. The transcript is spliced from 3 exons.
AGUGUAAGCUUACAUGUGCCGGGGGGUGUCGGCCGCGACACGGAGAGGCCAAUGGGAUCUGUGCGGCCAUUUUUAGAGGGCUCGUUGAAGCAACCGUGGCUCAAAGCUUUGGCAGCAUUCAGUCUGAAGCAGCCAGCCGGCAAGGAGGAGGCCGAUUUCCGUCCGACACUUUUCGAUCGACACUUCUUCUUCGAAAUCGCGCGAUCCUCGAUCCACCUCUCUCUCUCUCUCUCUCUCUCUCUCUCUCUCUCUUUCUCAUCCAUCGCGAGGCCUGGAUCCACCCGCCUCUGGACCUCCUCUCUCUUUCCUUGUCCACCUUAACCGCCGCGAGAGGAUCGAGCGAGGAGAACAGGAGGAGGAGGAGGAGAAGGAGGAGGAGGAGGAGGAGGAGGAGGAUCCACCCAGGUACACCACACACCCUUUGCCCAGAACGGAUCCUUCGACGGAGAGUGGAUUACGUAACACGUUUUUUCACGAGAUGGAUACAUCCACGGUGGUACACACAAAUCCAAGGAGGAACAACAAUAUUUUUUGAGGACGGGUGGAGAAAGAGGGAGAUCGGGAGAAGAAGAAACCGGGCGAUGCUGUUCCGUGCUUCCUUACUUCCCAUAGUGGAUGCGACGUAUGGAAUGUAAAGAAGUAUGGAGCUGCGCCCGGACGUCGCGUCGUCCUUGCAAUCGGAUGGAGAGAGAGAGAGAGAGAGAGAGAGAGAGAGAGAGAGAGAGAAGAAAGAGAAAGAAACGGCACGGAGAACAGCUGAAGGAAACUUGAGACGAGAGUGACCUUCUUUUUUUCCUGUUUACUUCUUGUUCCCUAAUAAUAUGGUGGAUAACUGUGUAUAUUCUCGCGAGAAAAGGAAAGGAAGACGAGAAAGGAAGGAAGGAAGAGAGAGAGAGAGGGAGAGAGAGAGAGAGUUUUGUGCAAAGAGAGAGUUCUUCGAACGUGGUUCUAAGUACACGGCAAUGUACAACCGGUGCUAUACAGUUCGGUAUCGAUAGGCUGGAUGCCAGAAAUAGAGCCGGUUCCACGUAUUUUGUAACGUGACUCGGAACAUCUUUCCAUGUGGCCUCUCCCGCCUUCUCUAUUUACGAUGACGCGGGAGAUGCAACCGAUGCCUGGCUAAAAAAGCACGCAUUGUAAAACCGCACUCUCUCUCUCUCUCUCUCUCUCUCUCCUUCUCUUCUUCCUCGAAGGAUUAUUCGCAUUCGAGCGGAGACGUGCAGUAGAGUUGCAGGCUGGCGGCGUGGAAGGGAAGGGAAGGGAAGAGGAGGAAAAGGAGGAAGAGGAGGAGGAGGAGGAGGAAGGAGCUGGAGAGGAAGGAGAUCCUCGUCCGGCGUUCGAGUCAAAAAUAGGACGUGUACCACGCAUGGUCACAGGCAUAUUUCCAUAAAUGAGUUCUCCGGUUACAGGGGUCUAUUUCCGGCCCGGGCCGGCGACCCGGAGUUGCACAGCCAAUUACAAUCGGCUCCAGGACGGAUCCCUCGUUCUGGGAAUCGGAGAGGAUUACAUUGCAGCGAGGAUUCGAUCGAAGGAAGAUUUCUCGAAACGCGCGUGUUUUUCA